This 561-nucleotide ribosomal RNA is filed under the name Scotina celans. Its description in RNAcentral is "partial large subunit ribosomal RNA". The record is from RNAcentral. Lineage: Eukaryota; Metazoa; Arthropoda; Arachnida; Araneae; Liocranidae.
GAUGCGGGGGUGCGGUCGGAAGAACCGAGCAGGGCUUCCCUUCAGGGGGCCGUCCGACCGUGCCGAAUCCGCGUCGUCCGACGCAUUUGUCUCUCGUCCGAAGGACGCCGCAGCCGGUGGGGCAGCGAAAGCGUGACGGCCUGAAGGCGUGGUAAUGGCAGGUGGCCGGUGGCGGACUUGGUUGUCCUUCGCCGGUUGUUAGCCGUCUGCGCAGUGGCCCGUCGCUCCACCGAGGUAUCACCAGGCUCGCACGGGCCGAAUCGUCUCCUCCGUUUGUUCGGACGCCGGGACAGAUCGUGGCAGGCGAAUUCCGCCGUCCCGUCGCACUCCCCACGAGUGGACGGGCGAACGGACGUCACCGCUGGCCACGGCGGGCCCGUCGGAGGUCGACGGCUGGCGGCGAGUAGGUCGGUCACCCACCCGACCCGUCUUGAAACACGGACCAAGGAGUCUAACAUGUGCGCGAGUCAAUGGGUCUUGAACAGGCCCAGGGGCGCAAUGAAAGCAAAGGUCGGCGCACGUCGGCUGAGUCGGGAUCCCCUCCCGAUUUUUUAGGGGGGG